Molecule: long non-coding RNA, 483 nt
Filed under: Pan troglodytes (chimpanzee)
Lineage: Eukaryota; Metazoa; Chordata; Mammalia; Primates; Hominidae
Description: lincRNA
Source: RNAcentral
GUAGUGAGGGGGCCGGGGCGUUAAUACACACACAGGUAGCGAGGAGGCCGGGGUGUCUGCUGCUGUUCCCAUGGCCCCGCUGUGCUGCGGGACAGUCCCUCGAGGUAACAGGUUGGCUGCCUCACACUUGAGGUUUUGUUUUUCCAGCCCUCAGGUGGAGUCUUCAUUCUUCUGUAGCUGGACCUGAUCUGGCCACAGCCGGCAUCCCCACAACGUCCCUACACCGAUUCUCCCGCUCAGGACUGGACAUGUAGCGUGUGGCACUUCCAAUCAAGGCCUCCACCAAGGCAGGUGUGACUUGCUGAAGGGCAGUUGGCUUCCCUUGAGGCUUGCAGGGCAGUGGACUGGAAUAACCAUGCCUGGUCCCCAUGAGAGCACUUCACUUCAUCUGAAUUCCUGGAAUGUGAGCUAAAAGCAGUAGGUGGGUGAGAGUUUUGUGAGGCGUUGAGGUCUGGCAGUAGGUGGUCUGUGGAAGAGAAGCGG